UGGGGAAUAUUGGACAAUGGGGGAAACCCUGAUCCAGCAACGCCGUGUGUGUGAAGAAGGCCUUAGGGUUGUAAAGCACUUUCAGUAGGGAAGAAAAGUUUAAGGGUAAUAUCCUUGAAUCUUGACGUUACCUACAGAAGAAGCACUGGCUAACUCUGUGCCAGCAGCCGCGGUAAUACAGAGAGUGCGAGCGUUAAUCGGAAUUACUGGGCGUAAAGCGCACGUAGGUGGAUAUUUAAGUUGGAUGUGAAAUCCCUGGGCUUAACCUAGGAAUUGCAUUCAAUACUGGAUGUCUAGAGUAUAGUAGAGGGAAGUGGAAUUUCUGGUGUAGCGGUGAAAUGCGUAGAUAUCAGAAGGAACAUCAGUGGCGAAAGCGGCUUCCUGGACUAAUACUGACACUUAGGUGCGAAAGCGUGGGGAGCAAACAG
Molecule: ribosomal RNA, 428 nt
Filed under: uncultured bacterium
Lineage: Bacteria
Description: bacterial SSU rRNA
Rfam family: Bacterial small subunit ribosomal RNA
Source: RNAcentral